Hyaena hyaena (striped hyena) is the source of this 107-nucleotide small nuclear RNA. Lineage: Eukaryota; Metazoa; Chordata; Mammalia; Carnivora; Hyaenidae. The record is from RefSeq and is a predicted model, not a curated record.
GUGCUCACUUUGGCAGUACAUAUACUAAAAGUAGAAUGAUACAGAGAAGAAUAGCCUGGCCCCUGCACAGGGAUGACACACAAAUUCAGGAAGCAUUCCAUAUUUUU